ACGAACGCUGGCGGCGUGCUUAACACAUGCAAGUCGAACGGAAAGGCCCUGCUUUUGUGGGGUGCUCGAGUGGCGAACGGGUGAGUAACACGUGAGUAACCUGCCCUUGACUUUGGGAUAACUUCAGGAAACUGGGGCUAAUACCGGAUAGGAGCUCCUGCUGCAUGGUGGGGGUUGGAAAGUUUCGGCGGUUGGGGAUGGACUCGCGGCUUAUCAGCUUGUUGGUGGGGUAGUGGCUUACCAAGGCUUUGACGGGUAGCCGGCCUGAGAGGGUGACCGGCACAAUGGGGCUGGGGUUAGGCCCCAGACCCCUACGGGGGCAGCAGUGGGGAAUAUUGCACAAUGGGCGGAAGCCUGAUGCAGCAACGCCGCGUGCGGGAUGACGGCCUUCGGGUUGUAAACCGCUUUCGCCUGUGACGAAGCGUGAGUGACGGUAAUGGGUAAAGAAGCACCGGCUAACUACGUG
Molecule: ribosomal RNA, 466 nt
Filed under: uncultured bacterium
Lineage: Bacteria
Description: partial 16S ribosomal RNA
Rfam family: Bacterial small subunit ribosomal RNA
Source: RNAcentral